Long non-coding RNA from Mustela erminea (ermine), 891 nucleotides. RefSeq lists it as uncharacterized. NCBI's taxonomy places the organism in Eukaryota, Metazoa, Chordata, Mammalia, Carnivora, Mustelidae. The record is from RefSeq and is a predicted model, not a curated record. The transcript has 3 exons.
UGUCCAGGAGCAGGAUCCCGGUUUGGCUCUGUUUGGUCAGUGUUGAGCGACGUCUUUGAUGUCUAGUGCGCCCUGAUCGUCUCUUCCUCCCGACGCAGUAGGAAUCCACAACAAAGUUAAUCAGACCAACAAGGAUCAAUAGAAAAAUGGUGGUUGACGAGGAGCGAACUGAGAGCCUGUGGCUCGGUCAGGGUCUCACACGGCGGGGGCACUGUGUGCGGCCGGCGGGAGGAACUGAAGAGUCGGGGAUGUGACCAAACGCAGGCUCUCUCAGGUCCGGAACGUCAUCGCACCUGGCCUUCGGAGAUGCCCGCCCGGAGUCAGACACAGCUGCUUCUGGGCAUGUAGACUGCGCCCAGGAGCUCAGAGCACAGAACACAGCAAGAGCCACAUGAGAGGUGCCAGCGCUGUGAGCUGCCCCUGGGCUCUGCUGUCUCACCUUAUCUGGAGUCUGUCGGGACAUGGGCUUAUGAGCUGUUCUGGUGGGAUGGUGUGCAGUCUGGCAUGCCAGCGACCGUAAAGGACAAGUUGGACAGCCACGUGCAGAGAUUCAGAGGACCUGGGAAGCGGAAGGAGCAUGGGGAUCGGCCAGCAGCUUUGGUCCUGGGAGCCGUGAAGCCAGUGUAGUGGGAGCAGAGGUUCUGGAUGGUGCAGGACGCCCGUGCAGGGCUGAGGAAUUUGCCCACCAUCCUGCGGGCUGUAAGGCGCUCUGAGGGCCACCUCAGCCGGGAACAAGGUGGUGAACUGGAUGUGUGGCUCAGCAGAGGAAGGGCUGGGGAGGUGGGGGAGGAUUCUGCUGGGACGUUCCAGGGUGGAUCAGACCCAAAUUCCCCUUUGUCAUUGCAUACCUUCCUGAAUUUGGGCAGAUUGUGUAUAUCUCCUCUGAAUCAU